Long non-coding RNA from Cyprinus carpio carpio, 1956 nucleotides. The record is from Ensembl. Lineage: Eukaryota; Metazoa; Chordata; Actinopteri; Cypriniformes; Cyprinidae.
AAAAAAAAAUGAAGCCUAAUAAUUAAAAUUUAAUAAAAAUUAAGAACUCCAGAAGUUUAGGGGUGAAAGAAUUUUCUUUUUUUAGUUAUUUUAGAAUUUGUUUGGGUUUUUAGAGAACAUCAUAUGCAGCUUCUCUUUGAAUCGACUCUUGGACAUGACCGGAAGUGUUAAUUGUUCAUAGAGCACGAGUUCGAUUCAAGACUCGUAAAAUCUGAUUUGUGAAUCAUUUCGAACAUUAAAAUAGUCUGAAAAAAGACUUGUAAAGGUCUUUAAUCGCCAAGAAAUCCUUUGAAUUUUAUUUAUAGUGCAAAAAAACAGCAUAUGCUGAUUAGGUAUGUUUUGACGCUGGGAUGCUGGUUUAUGCUGGUCUUUUGCUGGUUUAUUCUGGUCCUUUGCUGGUUUAUGCAGGUCUUUUGCUGGUUUAUUCUGGUCCUUUUGCUGGUUAAUGCUGGUCCUUUGCUGGUUUAUGCUGGUCCUUUGCUGGUUUAUGCUGGUCCUUUGCUGGUUUAUGCUGGUCCUUUGCUGGUUUAUGCUGGUCCUUUUGCUGGUUUAUUCUGGUCCUUUUGCUGGUUUAAUGCUGGUCCUUUGCUGGUUUAUGCUGGUCCUUUGCUGGUUUAUGCAGGUCCUUUGCUGGUUUAUGCUGGUCCUUUGCUGGUUUAUGCUGGUCCUUUGCUGGCAAAGGACCAGCAUAAACCAGUAUCCCAGCAUCAAAACAAACCUAACCAGCAUAUGUUGGUUUUUUCAGCAGGGUGUAACGUUACAAAUACUGUAACGUUAAUAAACACGAAACAUUGCACUGAGUCACAGACCCUCACCUUUUUUAGAUAUCUCAACUCAGAAAGCACAAACCCAGUCAAGUUCAUUAAAAUCCCAGCUGUUUGAACAGAAAUGACACAGAACGGAACUGUCUGAGCAGCCAUCCACCACCAGGUGUUCAUUUCCACGGGCAGCACAGUUGAAUCAUCGUCACUGUAGAAACAAACACUAAAAAAAAAACUGUGUACCUCCUGUGCACUAUAUAUUCAGCUGCAUGGAAAACUUUAAUCAGGGAAAUGCCCUAAAUUUUUGUCCAAAUUUCAAUUGUUUUAAAGGAAAUAAAUGUAUUUUGUCUGUGUUGUCUUUUUUAGAUAACUUUGUUUGUUGAACCUGGGGGUAAAAUUGGUUUGUUUUGCAAAGGUUUUCAGGACAAUGACCUACUAAAUGAACAAAGGAGUGAUUUUAGUGACUAAUGCUGUUUGUAAAAAUAUAAAGAAAGCAGGACGUGUGCCUCCUGGGAUAAAUAACCAACUAUGCCGAGUGAAUGAAGGAAAAAAAUAAAAACAACACACACAAUAUAUAAGUGUGCUUUUUCACAAGGGACCCAAAACUUCAUUGCAUUAAAACAAAAUAAAAAAAAUUAGAUUAUUUGAUUUGAAUACAUCACAAAACCUGUUAUGUUGUCUAUCACGGAUGAGGUUUUAAAAUCAAUAUUAUUAUGAUUAUGAAAUGAAUCUGAAAUGGAGUUGUGAGCGGUCAUAUGACCCAGAGGAAAACAAUGCCAGCUGGGUGAACUAAUCAGCUUAAGUGCUGUAAAACUGGUUUGAAUGUAUCUCUAAAAGUAAAGUUUUUAAAAUGCAGCUCUGUAUUUACCCUUUUAAAACUUUCCUGCAAUAACACUGUCAAAUCCAAUUCGCAAUAUAUUAUAGUUUUGAGACGGCCCAAGGUGGAGGAAUAUAAAUCCAGGUUGCUUUUCGCAAGAGAAACCGUGUCUUAUUUUAUUUUUUAUUUUCUUUACAUUUGAUUCAGAUCUAUAGUGUGACUGAAAAGUCAUCUGUGUAUUUCUUUAAGGCAUUAAAAAUCAUAAAAUGCAAUAAAAUCAUAAAUCCCUUCAUGUCAGCAGUCAUUCAUCACAACAUAUACUGAUGUCAAGAGAAUAGUUAAAUUACAGCUGCUAAUGUGCACAACAGCUAAGAGCCC